AUUUUAGAUUUCCUUCAACAAAAAGCAGGUAGAGACAACGGCCUGCGUCCCUCCAGCCUUUUGUUAAUGCUGUAAUGAGAACUAGACCAUUCACAGGUGUGCUUCAAGUCUCCUCAGAGAAGUCUGUGAGCUUAUCAAAAGAUCAAGGUGCUAACCCACUUCAACAGUGCUCUCCAUCCCAGCCUGGCGGCUGCAGAAGGCCUUCUCCUGAUGGUAUUUCAAUGCCAACUUUCUAGAUGCAACCAAAGAGGUGGGUGUAGACGCUCCCCACGUCUCUGGUUCAUCCAUCAGCAACAACAAUGCCAUCUGGUUACCGGGGACCAACGAGGCAUGAAAUGUCUGGAAAAGCAGCUGUCUUCCCCUUUACCUGGUUAAGAAUUACUAAUUAGGUGAGAAAGUUGCCUUUAGCUAUAAACUGCUGAAACUAGA
Molecule: long non-coding RNA, 429 nt
Organism: Ochotona princeps (American pika)
Lineage: Eukaryota; Metazoa; Chordata; Mammalia; Lagomorpha; Ochotonidae
Exons: 2
Source: RefSeq, a predicted model, not a curated record